UACGUAGGGAGCAAGCGUUGUCCGGAAUCAUUGGGCGUAAAGCGCACGUAGGCGGUCUGUUAUGUCGGAUGUGAAAGCCCUCGGCUCAACUGAGGAAGUGCAUCCGAAACUGGCAGGCUAGAGUACUAAAGAGGGUCGCGGAAUUCCCGGUGUAGAGGUGAAAUUCGUAGAUAUCGGGAGGAACACCGGUGGCGAAGGCGGCGACCUGGGUAGAUACUGACGCUGAGGUGCGAAAGCGUGGGGAGCAAACAGG
This 253-nucleotide ribosomal RNA is filed under the name uncultured bacterium. Its description in RNAcentral is "partial 16S ribosomal RNA". It matches the Rfam family "Bacterial small subunit ribosomal RNA", at positions 524 to 776 of the family's 1533-position model. The record is from RNAcentral.